Molecule: transfer RNA, 85 nt
Filed under: Felis catus (domestic cat)
Lineage: Eukaryota; Metazoa; Chordata; Mammalia; Carnivora; Felidae
Rfam family: tRNA
About the family: Transfer RNA (tRNA) molecules are approximately 80 nucleotides in length.
Source: Rfam by way of RNAcentral
GCCUGGGUGGCUCAGUCGGUUGAGCAUCUGACUUUGACUCAGGUCAUGAUCUUGCAGUUUGUGAGUUCGAGCCCCGCGUCGGGCU